This 304-nucleotide ribosomal RNA is filed under the name uncultured eukaryote. Its description in RNAcentral is "partial large subunit ribosomal RNA". It matches the Rfam family "Eukaryotic large subunit ribosomal RNA", at positions 40 to 350 of the family's 3401-position model. The record is from RNAcentral.
AUAUCAAUAAGCGGAGGAAAAGAAACUAACAAGGAUUCCCCUAGUAACGGCGAGCGAACCGGGAAAAGCCCAGAAUGUAAAUCUCCCUUGGAGAAUUGUAGUCUAUAGAAGUGCCCUCUGUAACGAGCGUGGCCUAAGUCUCUUGGAAAAGGGCGUCAGAGAGGGUGAGAACCCCGUCGGCCAUAGCUUUGUUGCUCCACGAGGCGCUUUCACAGAGUCGGGGUUGCUUGGGAAUGCAGCCCUAAUUUGGUGGUAAACUCCACCUAAGGCUAAAUAUUGCCGUGAGACCGAUAGCGCACAAGUA